RNAcentral lists this ribosomal RNA (163 nucleotides) under Euplotes focardii. RNAcentral describes it as "partial Eukaryotic small subunit ribosomal RNA". It matches the Rfam family "Eukaryotic small subunit ribosomal RNA", at positions 752 to 907 of the family's 1831-position model. Lineage: Eukaryota; Ciliophora; Spirotrichea; Euplotida; Euplotidae. The record is from RNAcentral.
AUCGGCGAGGUUACUUUGAGUAAAUUAGAGUGUUCAAAGCAAGCCUACGCUCUGAAUACAUUAGCAUGGAAUAACACGAUAGGACUCUGGCUUAUCUUGUUGGUCUGUAAGACCGGAGUAAUGAUUAAGAGGGACAGUCGGGGGCAUUCGUAUUUCAUUGUCA